CAGUAGCCGCGGGAAUACGUAGGUGGCAAGCGUUGUCCGGAAUUAUUGGGCGUAAAGGGCUCGCAGGCGGUUUCUUAAGUCUGAUGUGAAAGCCCCCGGCUCAACCGGGGAGGGUCAUUGGAAACUGGGAAACCUGAGUGCAGAAGAGGAGAGUGGAAUUCCACGUGUAGCGGUGAAAUGCAUAGAGAUGUGGAGGAACACCAGUGGCGAAGGCGACUCUCUGGUCUGUAACCGACGCUGAGGAGCGAAAGCGUGGGGAGCGAACAGGAUUAGAUACCCCUGUAGUCCCUGUCUCUUAUAC
This 301-nucleotide ribosomal RNA is filed under the name uncultured bacterium. RNAcentral's name for it is "partial 16S ribosomal RNA". It matches the Rfam family "Bacterial small subunit ribosomal RNA", at positions 509 to 807 of the family's 1533-position model. The record is from RNAcentral.